GAGGAAGAGGUGUUACUGAUAAAAGGAAUAGAGCUAGAUAGAGAGAAUUUCGUGAAGUUUGAUGUGUACAUCAACGACGAAGAUUAUUCAGUGAGUAGGCCUAAGAAUAGUGAGUUUGCAGGAAGCUUUGUGAACGUACCACACAAGCAUAUGAAAGAAAUGAAGACGAAGACCAAUCUGAGGUUCGCGAUAAAUGAGCUGUUAGAGGACUUGGGAGCCGAAGAUGAUGAGAGUGUGAUCGUGACUAUAGUCCCUCGUGCUGGGGGCGAUGAUGUCACCAUUGGUGGAAUUGAGAUCGAGUUUGUUUCCGAUUGAUCCCAUCUUUCAAUGAUUAUCCAUUAUAUGUAUGUAUCAGGUAAGUCACAUCUUUAUGUGACUAAUGGAAAAUGUGAGACUUCUCUGUACUCUCCCGUCAAGUCUUUUAUUAAUUUAGAGCUGUUUGGUUUAAAUUUAAGGGGUUUUUAAUUGGUGUUAGUUUCCUGUGCCUUUUAUUUACUUUAGAUUGAAGUGGAAAUUGAAGUUAAAUUUACUAC
This 533-nucleotide long non-coding RNA is filed under the name Vitis vinifera (wine grape). RNAcentral describes it as "long non-coding RNA (VVIN_LNC006878)". Lineage: Eukaryota; Viridiplantae; Streptophyta; Magnoliopsida; Vitales; Vitaceae. The record is from RNAcentral.